GGCAGACCAAUGGGGUCACUACGCA
This 25-nucleotide non-coding RNA is filed under the name Rattus norvegicus (Norway rat). Lineage: Eukaryota; Metazoa; Chordata; Mammalia; Rodentia; Muridae. The record is from RNAcentral.